GACGAACGCUGGCGGCGUGCUUAACACAUGCAAGUCGAGCGGCGCGGCGAACGGGUGAGUAACGCGUGAGUAACUGCCCCCCUCUCUGGGAUAACAGUUGGAAACGGCUGCUAAUACCGGAACGUGGGGGAUGACUCGCGUCCUAUCAGCUUGUUGUUGGGGUAGUGGCCUACCAAGGCGACGACGGGUCGCCGGCCUGAGAGGGGGCCCGGCCACAUUGGGCUGAGAUACGGACCAAACUCCUACGGGAGGCAGAAGUGGGGAAUAUGGCACAAGGGGGGAAACCCUGAGGCAGCAACGCCGGGUGCGGGAUGACGGCCUACGGGUUGUAAACAGCUUUCAGCCAUGACGCGGUAGUGGCAGAAGAAGCACCGGCUAACUACGUGCCAGCAGCCGCGGUAAUUC
This 405-nucleotide ribosomal RNA is filed under the name uncultured bacterium. RNAcentral's name for it is "partial 16S ribosomal RNA". It matches the Rfam family "Bacterial small subunit ribosomal RNA", at positions 28 to 526 of the family's 1533-position model. The record is from RNAcentral.